This 63-nucleotide transfer RNA is filed under the name Aquila nipalensis (steppe eagle). RNAcentral describes it as "partial tRNA-Thr". Lineage: Eukaryota; Metazoa; Chordata; Aves; Accipitriformes; Accipitridae. The record is from RNAcentral.
UAGUUUAUAAAAAACAUUGGUCUUGUAAACCAAAGACUGAAGAUUGUCCCCCUUCUUAGAGUU